GUAAACGAUGGACACUCGCUUUUGGCGAUAUACGGUCAGGAGCCAAGUGAAAACGUUAAGUGUCCCACCUGGGGAGUACGCCGGCAACGGUGAAACUCAAAGGAAUUGACGGGGGCCCGCACAAGCGGAGGAACAUGUGGUUUAAUUCGAUGAUACGCGAGGAACCUUACCCGGGCUUGAACUGCUCCCGAAUGUGUACGAAAGUAUACAGCCAGCAAUGGCGGGAGCGGAGGUGCUGCAUGGUUGUCGUCAGCUCGUGCCGUGAGGUGUCGGCUCAAGUGCCAUAACGAGCGCAACCCUUGCCUACAGUUACUAACGGAUCAUGCCGAGGACUCUGUAGGGACUGCCAUCGCAAGAUGUGAGGAAGGUGGGGAUGACGUCAAAUCAGCACGGCCCUUACGUCCGGGGCUACACACGUGUUACAAUGGGGGGUACAGCAGGAAGCUUCAGCGCGAGUUGUGGCAGAUCGUCAAAACCCCUCUCAGUUCGGAC
RNAcentral lists this ribosomal RNA (492 nucleotides) under uncultured bacterium. RNAcentral describes it as "bacterial SSU rRNA". It matches the Rfam family "Bacterial small subunit ribosomal RNA", at positions 802 to 1298 of the family's 1533-position model. The record is from RNAcentral.